This is a long non-coding RNA of Aegilops tauschii subsp. strangulata, 1736 nucleotides long. RefSeq lists it as uncharacterized. The record is from RefSeq and is a predicted model, not a curated record. Lineage: Eukaryota; Viridiplantae; Streptophyta; Magnoliopsida; Poales; Poaceae.
GGGCCGUCCGGGCCGGGCUGCCAUGGCCAGUUAUGACCUCGCCUAGUGGUUCCCCGGCGGCCGCGCCCGCGCCAGCUGCCGCUUCCGGCGGUAGCCUUCAACUCUCGCGUCACCCAACCGCACGUGCCCGACUCGCCGCCAGUAGAUCUGGCGGCCGCCGCGGAGCUAGUCGAGCAGUCCGUGGGCAGAACAGAAAGCGCGCCGUUCCUGGCCGUGGGCAGGCCGCCGCGGUGAAGGCCAACUCCGGCCUCCCCGUGGGCUUCGCCCCCUCCUGUGCCACCUCCCCGUUCGGCGGAUUCAUCCGGUUCAACCCCGGCCAGCAGCCCUGUUCGGAUGCAUGCCCCAGUACGCGCUGCUCCGCCUCGCCUGAUACAGCGGCGUCACGGUCCGCUGUUGAAUUACCAAGUCCACAGAACAAUUUCUACCGGGUGCUCUGAAGUCCCAAAUUGGUUUGCUACAUGAUCAAACAAAUUAUGUAUUUUACAGUUCGGCGAUCCUUUUAUAACUUCAAAAUUCACUUCCAGUAGUGUGAUAACAAGCAGUUAGUCAUUGCUGCAUGUGGCUGGUCUGGUCGGUUCUGACAAAGGGCAGCAGCACACUAUGAGAAUGCGGUUAUUUAUUCUGAUGCCCAUUGUGCUCAGUAAAUGGGAGUUUGAUUAGAUAAAUCAAUUCUCGCAGGCAUUGCUAAGUCACCAUAGAUGAGGGUGCAUCUGUUGAAGCCGAAAGUAAUGACAAUUCACAGAGUACGCUCUAUGCAAAGAAUUGCCACCAGGAGGCUGCUGGGACAAUGGCAUAAUUUCAGGGGAGCUUCCUUCUGGGUGGGGGAAUGCCCUUCGAGUUACUGUUCUGGACCCCACAUCUUGCCCAUUCAACAUUUCAUCAGAUGUCAUAACAUGUGUUGGAUUUUCAAUAUUCUGUUCUGUUUGUUUGCUUUUGCUGAUAGCCCUUCUGAUGCUUCAGGGAACUGUUCUGAAUAGUAGGCGAAUGUUUUGCUAAAUUUACCAGGAUUUCUUGGAUAGCGCUGACCUUGUGACAUCAAAUAUGCUAUCUGCGUACCCUUGGGCUUUUGAAGCAGCUACGCUAGCUGUAAAUAAUGCUCUUUCUGAAUAAGUCGUUUGCUUGCCAGCUUAAUAAUGCGUAGAGAGUUUUCUCAAUCCUAUUGCUGCUUCUCAUGUACAGUAGAAUUGUUUUCCUCACUUUGUCAGAUGCAUUUUUUUUCUCUCUAUCAGAUGUAUUGUGUGCUAUCUGCUUUCUUUUAUGCAGAUGUAUUAUGCUAUCUGCUUUCUUUUAUGCAGAGUUAUCUGCAUUGUGUUAUUUUCUUUCUUUGUUUUCGAAUUACCUGCCUUCUGCAACAUAGGAACAUGCUGUUUCUGACGUUAAUUGCUCAUCAGGUCCUAGUUGGGUUGCGGUGUCGAACUGUCGCUAAGAAAGAAAGUAAAUUUAAAGGAUAUAUUUUGCCUGGAAAAGGGAAUACCCCGCCUCUUGAAGACUUCAGAGUGAUGCACACAGGCAACUUUUGAUUUGCUGCAGGCUAGUCACAAGUUACUCUUUGUUUUUUCUUUGAAUAGAUACAAGUUACUCUGGUACGGCUUACGUAUAGCCAGGAUGUCAGCUCCUUUGCUAUUUUAUUAGGCCAGUACUAGGCGUCAUCCGGAUGAUGUCCCGGGGAAAUAAGCCGCCUUGCCCGUCGUUGAUUUCCGCUAAUACAGUACGAUCUGGGCCGAUGGAUUCCUUGA